GUCAUGGUGAGUUGAAUGUAUGCUUUGUGUGUAAUUCUGAUAUGAGCAGCCUCAUGCGAAUAUGGGUCUUAUGUCGUAUGCAGCCUGCGUAGCUCUAAUCCAGCAUGCCCAUCUAUGAGGUCUGUUCAGGAGCUACAUGUCUUCUAUGAGGUUUGUUCAGGAGCUACAUGUCUUCUAUGAGGUCUGUUCAGGAGCUACAUGUCUUCUAUGAGGUCUGUUCAGGAGCUACAUGUCUUCUAUGAGGUCUGUUCAGGAGCUACAUGUCUUCUAUGAGGUCUGUUCAGGAGCUACAUGUCUUCUAUGAGGUCUGUUCAGGAGCUACAUGUCUUCUAUGAGGUCUGUUCAGGAGCUACAUGUCUUCUAUGAGGUCUGUUCAGGAGCUACAUGUCUUCUAUGAGGUCUGUUCAGGAGCUACAUGUCUUCUAUGAGGUCUGUUCAGGAGCUACAUGUCUUCUAUGAGGUCUGUUCAGGAGCUACAUGUCUUCUAUGAGGUCUGUUCAGGAGCUACAUGUCUUCUAUAAGGUUUGUUCAGGAGCUUCAUGUCUUCUAUGAGACCAUGAAACCCAUGGGUGACUUUAUGGCAGACAGGGUAGCACCUUAGCAGACUGCGCUAUUGUGCAGGCUGGUCUGGAGCUAUGCUGGCUCCAUAUGUCAGAAGACCCAUUUUCGCAUAACACAGCUCAAAUAGUUAUGAAAGGAGGAAUUGAUUACAACUUAUUUAUUUGAUACAUUUUAACUGUAAGGUACAUGUUCCUUAACGCCAUAUUUUCUUCUAUCUUUUUUUUAAAUGAAGUGGACUUGUUUUAGUAUCUUUAUUCCCUGUACAUAGAUUGGUCUUAGUAAACAUUGUGCUGUGAUUUAUUAUAUCAUUAAAAGUUUUCAACAGACAAUUACUCAAGUACAAAUAACCUAAAACUUGUUAUAGCUGUAUUGCCUGUUAAUGUUUAAAUAUGAAAGUAUGUUGUUAUA
Long non-coding RNA from Dreissena polymorpha, 969 nucleotides. RefSeq lists it as uncharacterized. The transcript has 3 exons. Lineage: Eukaryota; Metazoa; Mollusca; Bivalvia; Myida; Dreissenidae. The record is from RefSeq and is a predicted model, not a curated record.